CCCUGUAUCGAAAGUGAUUAUGGUAUGUGAGUUACCAGAUCAUUGAUUAUGCAGGAAGAGUAAGCUGAAAGUCUUUCCCGUGUUUUCUGGAUCCCAUGUUCCAUGCAAACCCUGUAUCUUUCAGACA
Engraulis encrasicolus (European anchovy) is the source of this 127-nucleotide small nucleolar RNA. RefSeq annotates it as small nucleolar RNA SNORA71. Lineage: Eukaryota; Metazoa; Chordata; Actinopteri; Clupeiformes; Engraulidae. The transcript has a single exon. The record is from RefSeq and is a predicted model, not a curated record.